GUGCUGCUGAUGGAGGUGGCUGUGCUGGUCUUGUGUGUGGUCACAGGUGUCCCAGUGUGUGGCACAGCUGACUCUUCAUGGGUGAAGGCUGCCAGGAGGAAAGCACAGGUCAGUUGUAGAUGAGGGCAGAAGGGGAAAGCAAAGAAGAUUGGUCAAACCCCCAGACUGGAGUUGUAAGGAUAACGAGAAUUCCUGUACUCCAGUGAGUUUUCCCAUGUUUGGGGCUGGAAUAGGAAAGUGUCCUGUCCACAAUCUGCUGCUCAUUUCCCAUUUAAUUGGGAAGAAAUGGCCUUCCUAGCAGAAAAAAUCUCUCUUCCACUUUCUGAAACAUGGCUUUUUCUGAAUAUUCAUGUCCUUUCAAGGAACAGUAAGUGUCUAUAGACUGCCCCUCCAGGACUUGCAUAUCCACCUACAUGGGACUGACCAUUUCCCUGGGUCAUAUUGAAGGAUGGCCACACCACGGUACUAAUGUAAAAAAAAUGGGAAUGGAGAGCAAAAACUGAAAAAACCUGCUCUGCUAGAAAUGAAGAAAGGAAAAGGCACACAAGGAGAACUAGCGGGAUGCACAGGAGAGAGCCUUACCAGGCUGUGAGGAGCUGAGCCAUGUUGAGGACACAGUUGAGGAGGGAGAAGAAGCAGGUUGUGGCAGAGUGCUGGUUUUGGCUGUGGUGACUGUAGAGGACUCUGUUACAGGAGACUCCUUUGCAGCUUGGGUUGCUGGGGAAGAGGGCCUGGGCCUCAGGGUUGUAGGUGUAGGCCUGGGGCUGGUGCUGGCAGCUGCUGUGGAGGAGCCAGUGGAAGUGGUGGCAGUGGAUGGCAGCCUUGUGCUGAGCGGGCUGCUGGGGGCAGGUGGAGAGCUGGCAUGGGCAGAGGUUGUUUCCAGAGGGGCUCCUGUGCUGCUUGCUGGGCUGGGCCCUGUGGAGACAGAGGUUGUUUCCAGAGGGGCUCCUGUGCUGCUUGCUGGGCUGGGCCCUGUGGAGACAGAGGUCUUGGAGGUGCUGCUGAUGGAGGUGGCUGUGCUGGUCUUGUGUGUGGUCACAGGUGUCCUAAUGUGUGGUACAGUUGACUGUUCACGGGUGUAAGCUGCGAGGAGGAAAUCACAGGUUAGUUGCAUUUUGCUGGCUUAUGGGAUGUUGGGUAAUAUUGUGUUUUGGAGCUUUUUUGCUUAGUUAUGGGCCAGGAUGGGAGGCCUUGUUCCCACUAAAUCUGUUUUUUUUGGGUUUUUGGGGUUAUUUUCAGUUAUUUAUGUGUCCAUUACCCUAAAUCCAUCCUGUCCAGUUUCUUUUUCAUAAGUGCUUGCUCUUGACAAUUCUGAAGAGUGACCUCUAAAAAUUUAUCUCAUCUCCUUCUUCCUGGAACAGUUGAGUAGGGAAGAGGUAUCACUUGUUUGAUGGUUUGAAAUUGUCUUGCUGCAGACUCCUCUGGGUGGGCUGUGGCUACUAAAGGGAUAUGGAUGCAUUGGCCAGGGAUGACUCUUAUUUCUUUCAUGACCAGAGCACUCACCUGUUACUACUUUAGUAGUUGGUGUCUUAGCUCUGGUUGGCUCCCUUGCUACAAAGAAAGGGAUGAGAGAAAAGAAUGAUUGAGUCCUGGGGAAGGAUUCUAGGCAAAGCAUGUUGUGGCAUCUUCCCAAAGGAGGAGCAACACUAAGACAACUCUGGCAUGUGGGUCUAACAGAAAGAACUUUAGCCUGGAGUUGAGGGUACACUUUCUUGCCCACCCUCCACUGGUGACUCUUGUACUCGGGGUCAGGAUUGGUCCAUGAGGUCAUAUUUGUUGAACUGCACUUUUCAUGGGUGUGCCAGGGCCUAGGCAUCCUUUGGCUGGAGAUGAUGCCUUGGGUUAUGCCUCUCACUCACUGAGAGGCUGUAAACUGAGAUGUGUUUCCAGUUUCCCUGUUUUUUGUUCAUUCCUGCCCCACUGUGCAUUCCCAGGGCAGCACAGUAAGAAGAGGGAGGUGUUUUAGCUUGUGUCUGAUUGGUAGCUGUAGGGCAGGAACUCAUGGAUGCCUGAACCUUCACAGAGGCCUGUGCCCCAGAGCCAAAGCCCUGAAGUUGCAGGGAGGAGGAUACAGUCAGGGUCAUGUGUGGGUCAGGCCCAGGAGCUGCCAGUGUCCCAUGGAAAGAGCAGGGGCAAUUGAGAAUGAGUACCAAAACAGAGGCCUUUGUGGGAUGGGCUGCUUAGGAGAGAAGGGUGGGAGCUAGAAGCAGCAGGCAGAGCAGCAGGAAGGGCAGGAGGGAGCCUUACCAGGAUAUGAUGUUCCCAGCUGGGUUGAGGAGAGGGAAGAAGCAGACGAGGCUGAGGUGACAAGCGAAGAGCUGGAGCUUGGAAAUGUCCUUGUCAGUGGAACUUGUGGCCUGGUGGCAGGGCUGGUCUCUCUCAGGACAGAGGUGCUGCUGAUGGAUGUGGCAGGGGUGGUCUGUGUCUGUGUGACAAGGUGCUGCACAGGCGGUGUCAACGUUGUUCUUAUGUGGGUGACAACUACAGAGAGAAAAGCACAAGUUGAUAGAGGACGAGUCUGAAGGGUGCCUCUGAAAUUCUGUGCUCCCUGCCUUUUCUGAAGCUCCUGAGGAAAGAAGAGCCUCACUGGAUGCACGUUUCCCCUCCCAGGUAUUCCAAACUGGGGAGGACCAUCAUCUGAAAAGCUGGGAUAAGUGAAGCAGAGUCUUAGGCCAAGGGCAUCUCUCUAGUCCCUUUUACUCACCUUCUGGGUAGUGCAGAGUGGUUGCUUCGGUUCCCUCACUCUCUGUGAGGAAAGAAUGAAUAUUAGUAAUGGUUGGGAGCUGGUAAGGUUCUAGAGGAAGCUGUAGCUGCUUGCACAAGGAGACCUAGAUAUAUGCACCCCAACAGUAGUUUGUGGGAGAGACCCGGAUUUGGGAAAGAGUGUACAGCUGCCUUCCCACCACAACUGUCCCAGCCUGUCAGUUGCUAAUGUAGUAAUACAUGUUGCCAUACAGCCUCAGAGGAGACUGUUCUUGGGGAGCAUUUCUUACAAAGUGUAGGGGAAUAUAUAUUCUGUGGUCUGUGAAUUUUCAAGAACUUGCUUUGAAGUGUAGAGAGAUUUAGUCUAAAUUUGGAGGAAGUGUUGGAAGAGAAAUGUUAGCUUAACAUCAUAUUUGGAUGUCAGAUGCUUGCUCUGUUGGCAAGACAAAUUUCCAUUUUACUCACACUUCUUAUCCAUGUCCUUUCCUUUCUAUUUGCAAUGUUAAGACCACUAGUAAGAAUGCUUGGGGUUUUUUUUAUAAAGAGUAUAUUGACAUAUGUCUUAUGAGCAAUGGCUUCACUUGACAGAUAUAAGAAAGUGCUAUUUACCUGCUGUUGUUAGUUUAGGCUGGCUGAAAGUUGUGCUCCGAGUUUUGGUUUGAGUAGGUAUUGAGGAGGUUGCCAUCUCCCUUUUGGUGGUGGUCUUGAAGGGUGGUGAGGUGAUCCCUGCUUGCUCGGUCUCUGUUGAAGCAGUGGUUGAUGAGGCAAAAGGUGAUGAGGGAACAGACUUUGGUGUAGUAGCCAAGGUUCUUUUCAUUGAGGUAGUUAUGGAAGGGGUAGUGAUGGUUGUAGUCAUGUUUGGUGUGGUAAAAAUUGAUGUUGUAUGUUCUUUUGGAGGAAAGAUAAAAAUAUAAUGUGAGUAACCAAUUCAUAGAAAAAUUUAAACCAGAUAAAUUAUAAAGAAGUUAUUAAUAUUUUAGAGGUAAUUUUUUAUUUUUCAAAUAUUUUCAGUAUGACUGUUGUAUUCAUGUUCUCAAGCUUACCAAAUAUUUCUGUACUUAUUUGUUUUCUGUUGUCUCAUGUCUGUCUUUGUUCUCAUUUUCUAUAUUAAACAAAUCUAAUACAGGAAAAUACAUUUUUUGUAAAUAGUUAGCUCUUUUGUCUCUUUGGCUAAAGUCUGAAUGGGCUUUGUCUAUUGGCUUUUAUUAUGUUCCAAAUCCAAAGCCAUACCUGCAGCUUUCUGCAAUUUGUAUUGAAAAGCUAAAUAACAUCAUACUAUAGACUCUCCUUGCCUCAGUGCACAAAUCAUCUCUCACAGUGUCAGCUUUUGUGUGUUUUGACUCCUUUGGGCCCUAUUUUUACCUCUGCUUUCCCUGAGCCGUGGCCCAAGAUGGUUUACUAGCUGAAGUGCAUGUUGUUAUGAGGCUAAAUGAGGCUCCACAAGCCACAGAAUAAGAAAGUAAUCUAUGCUGGCAGAGUCAUCCUCCAGAAAAUAGGACUUUAGAAACCUAGACAUAGCUGCUACACUGAUACCUGUAUGGCUCUGCUUUGCAGCUUGCUUACAUUAUUCAGAGUCAACAGAUUGGGUGCUCCUUGAACUCCAUAAAUUAAUCAGUGGAAAAGAGGCUGAAGCUGAGCUAAUAAACCAAACUGGAGCUGGGCUUGCUCACUGCUUAUAGAACUUCUAACUGUGUUUCUCAGAUGAGUCACUUUUUGCUUGCAUUUUUAACCUAAUGCCUAUAUCCUUUAGCUUUUCAUGCACUUUCAAUCUACACUUCUGAACAUUUCUGGUUAAUAAACUCCUUUCUGGAAGCCUGCUUUGCCCGCUUCAUGAUUUGGAGUCUAAUGCUUGGAUGUUGUAUGAAAUUGAAAUACAUUCCUAGGAAUGGUAUCUCAAUCAUGUACGGAGGUACAGAGCAAGUUUACCACAAUUUAUUUUAGACAAUAACGCUAAAAACCUACCAGUUGUUGACUUGAUUGUGACAAGAGGUUGUGAGGGUGAAGUUCUUGGAAUUGUAAUUUUUGCAGUUAUUGUUGGAUUUGUAGUCUCAGUAGUCCCAACGGAUACAGCUGUUGCAGAAGAAGUACUAGGUUCUGUUGGUAGUGUGCUUGUGGUAGAGCUCUUUGUUACUUUAGGCUGCACUGUUGUUACUAAGAGAAAAAAACCCGAAAAGAUAAGAAAUAGUCCUCAAUAAUCUAAUAAUAUCUAUAUAAAUGGAAUUU
Long non-coding RNA from Ficedula albicollis (Collared flycatcher), 4926 nucleotides. NCBI's taxonomy places the organism in Eukaryota, Metazoa, Chordata, Aves, Passeriformes, Muscicapidae. The record is from Ensembl.